GUGGGGAAUAUUGGACAAUGGGGGGAACCCUGAUCCAGCCAUGCCGCGUGUGUGAAGAAGGCCUUUUGGUUGUAAAGCACUUUAAGCGAGGAGGAGGCUACCGAGAUUAAUACUCUUGGAUAGUGGACGUUACUCGCAGAAUAAGCACCGGCUAACUCUGUGCCAGCAGCCGCGGUAAUACAGAGGGUGCAAGCGUUAAUCGGAUUUACUGUGCGUAAAGCGCGCGUAGGUGGCCAAUUAAGUCAAAUGUGAAAGCCCCGAGCUUAACUUGGGAAUUGCAUUCGAUACUGGUUGGCUAGAGUAUGGGAGAGGAUGGUAGAAUUCCAGGUGUAGCGGUGAAAUGCGUAGAGAUCUGGAGGAAUACCGAUGGCGAAGGCAGCCAUCUGGCCUAAUACUGACACUGAGGUGCGAAAGCAUGGGGAGCAAACAGGAUUAGAAACCCGAGUAGUCC
Molecule: ribosomal RNA, 451 nt
Filed under: uncultured bacterium
Lineage: Bacteria
Description: partial 16S ribosomal RNA
Rfam family: Bacterial small subunit ribosomal RNA
Source: RNAcentral